UACGGAGGGGACUAGCGUUGUUCGGAAUUACUGGGCGUAAAGCGCACGUAGGCGGAUUUGUAAGUCAGGGGUGAAAUCCCGGGGCUCAACCCCGGAACUGCCUUUGAUACUGCGAAUCUCGAGUCCGGAAGAGGUGAGUGGAAUUCCUAGUGUAGAGGUGAAAUUCGUAGAUAUUAGGAAGAACACCAGUGGCGAAGGCGGCUCACUGGUCCGGUACUGACGCUGAGGUGCGAAAGCGUUGGGAGCAAACAGG
RNAcentral lists this ribosomal RNA (253 nucleotides) under uncultured bacterium. RNAcentral describes it as "partial 16S ribosomal RNA". It matches the Rfam family "Bacterial small subunit ribosomal RNA", at positions 524 to 776 of the family's 1533-position model. The record is from RNAcentral.